CCCGCCGAGGCGGGCGGCCCGGCGCCUCUGGCGCGGCGCUGCGGGGUGCGCGGGGUCUCCGGGGCGGCCGAGCCCGGACUGCACCUGCCGUUACGCCGGCGGGACGCGGCUUCGUGGCCAGAGGCGGGGCGGCCCGGGGGAGGCACCGUGUGUGAGGACCCCUGGGCCUCGUGCUGAGGCCUGUGGCCUCCGUGACCCUGGGUCCUGCUCUGCGGGGGAAGCAGCUUCCUCCCACGGGCUUCCUGGCCCCACGGGUUGGGGGUCCUCUCCCGGCAAAGGGCGAGAGCAGGCGCUUCCCUGGGCCCCGUGUUUCUGUGCCCUUGUGCCGUCGGAGAGGCAGCGACAGCAAGCAGCUGUUCCAGCAACUUCCACAAGAGAGCAAAGGCUUUAAAGCUCCCUUAAAACCUCAUCCUGUUGAAGGCCCCAAAAGCUAAUCCAUACACCAGCUCAGCAGAGUCGAAUGUAAACACUGAUGAGGUUUUUGUCAGCAAAACUUCUGAAUUGGACUUGAAUUCAUACAUUUGGUUUCUAAAAAAUUAAUAUUUUUUCAAAAUAUGCCCUGGUAUAGCGUUCAAACUGUGACUAAAAACCUGUAGUAGCAUCUGUCCUGGGAGUGAAGUAUCUGAAAACUGAAGCACAGGGUUUGUGAAARUUUUAUUAAAUGAACCAAGGAAUGAGGAAAGAAAGGGGGAAGGGAGGAUUGUUCCUCUACUGCAUUAAUAUUUAUACCUGUUCUCGAGUUUGGGAGCUGUUCCAAUGCUGGGAAAUAUUUCUGUUCAUCCAUUCAGUUGCAUUUGGCUCAAAGCCAAGGUUUGAAUACAAUGGGAUAUUUCAUGUGCUUGAUCUGCGUGUUGAUAACAGGGGUUUGCAUGUAGAUCAAAAGAAUGAUACAACCCUGUAUUGUCAGAACUGUCUGCCAGAGCAUCCAGCAAAUGCUUAUUUGGAGGCCAGCGCUUGGCUCACUUCCAAAGACUUAAUUCUAACAAUCAACUCAAAAGAAGCCUGCAACCUAACACUUCUACCAUUGAUGCAUUUGUGCAUCCAGACCUACCUUUGA
This 1057-nucleotide long non-coding RNA is filed under the name Apteryx haastii (Great spotted kiwi). RNAcentral describes it as "lncRNA (ENSAHAG00000013496.1)". Lineage: Eukaryota; Metazoa; Chordata; Aves; Apterygiformes; Apterygidae. The record is from RNAcentral.